GCCGAGUUGGCGGAACUGGCAGACGCGACGGUCUCAAAAACCGUUGUCCGAAAGGACGUGUGGGUUCGAGUCCCACACUCGGCACCAUCU
RNAcentral lists this transfer RNA (90 nucleotides) under Nocardia farcinica IFM 10152. Its description in RNAcentral is "putative tRNA-Leu". It matches the Rfam family "tRNA". Rfam says of the family: Transfer RNA (tRNA) molecules are approximately 80 nucleotides in length. Their secondary structure includes four short double-helical elements and three loops (D, anti-codon, and T loops). Further hydrogen bonds mediate the characteristic L-shaped molecular structure. tRNAs have two regions of fundamental functional importance: the anti-codon, which is responsible for specific mRNA codon recognition, and the 3' end, to which the tRNAs corresponding amino acid is attached (by aminoacyl-tRNA synthetases). tRNAs cope with the degeneracy of the genetic code in two manners: having more than one tRNA (with a specific anti-codon) for a particular amino acid; and 'wobble' base-pairing, i.e. permitting non-standard base-pairing at the 3rd anti-codon position. Lineage: Bacteria; Bacillati; Actinomycetota; Actinomycetes; Mycobacteriales; Nocardiaceae. The record is from RNAcentral.